AGUUUUACGAGGUAUCAGCACAUUUUCUUUCAUUAGUGGGGAAGGCAAGAUGAAAAAUACAAAACAGCAGUAGACUUUUAAAGUUUAAAUAGACAGGUCUGAGUGCCUGAACUUGCUCUUCCAUUUUACUUUAACCCUCUAAAGAAGUAUUCUGAUCCAGUUUCACUGGUGAUCAGCAAGGGUAAGUUGAAAGU
This 194-nucleotide non-coding RNA is filed under the name Calypte anna (Anna's hummingbird). RNAcentral describes it as "Connexin-43 internal ribosome entry site (IRES)". It matches the Rfam family "Connexin-43 internal ribosome entry site (IRES)". Rfam says of the family: This family represents the connexin-43 internal ribosome entry site (IRES) which allows cap independent translation during conditions such as heat shock and stress. Lineage: Eukaryota; Metazoa; Chordata; Aves; Apodiformes; Trochilidae. The record is from Rfam by way of RNAcentral.